This 468-nucleotide ribosomal RNA is filed under the name uncultured bacterium. Its description in RNAcentral is "partial 16S ribosomal RNA". It matches the Rfam family "Bacterial small subunit ribosomal RNA", at positions 28 to 507 of the family's 1533-position model. The record is from RNAcentral.
GACGAACGCUGGCGGCGUGCUUAACACAUGCAAGUCGAACGGAAAGGCCCUGCUCUUGGGGGGUGCUCGAGUGGCGAAGGGGUGUGAAACACGUGUGUAAUCUGCCCGUCACUGGGGGAAAACUUGAGGAAACGGGGGCAUACACCGGAGAGGAGCCCCUGCUGCGGGGGGGGGGGGGGAAAGUUGCGGCGUUUGGGGCUGGACUCGGGGCUUAUCAGUUUGUGGGUGGGGUAGGGGUUUACAAAGGUUUUGAGGGGUAGCGGGCGGGAGAGGGUGACCGGCCAAUUUGGGCCUGGGUUAGGGCCCAGACUCCUCCGGGGGGCAGCAGUGGGGAAUAUUGCACAAUGGGCGGAGGCCUAAGGAAGCACCGCCGCGUGCGGAAUACCGGCCUUCGGUUGGUAAACCGCUUUCGCCUGGGCCGAAGCGUGUGUGACGGUAGUGGGUAAAGAAGCACCGGCUAACUACGUG